CUGCUGAGGAGUCCCAUAAUAGGACGAAACGGCCGUCAAUCAG
Schistosoma mansoni is the source of this 43-nucleotide non-coding RNA. The record is from Rfam. NCBI's taxonomy places the organism in Eukaryota, Metazoa, Platyhelminthes, Trematoda, Strigeidida, Schistosomatidae.